Molecule: ribosomal RNA, 253 nt
Filed under: uncultured bacterium
Lineage: Bacteria
Description: partial 16S ribosomal RNA
Rfam family: Bacterial small subunit ribosomal RNA
Source: RNAcentral
GACAGAGGUUGCAAACGUUGUUCGGAAUUACUGGGCAUAAAGCGCACGUAGGCGGCUACCUAAGUCGGAUGUGAAAGCCCCUGGCUUAACUGGGGAAGUGCACCCGAAACUGGGUAGCUAGAGUGCAAAAGAGGGUCGCGGAAUUCCCGGUGUAGAGGUGAAAUUCGUAGAUAUCGGGAGGAACACCGGUGGCGAAGGCGGCGACCUGGGUUGACACUGACGCUGAGGCGCGAAAGCGUGGGGAGCAAACAGG